UACGGAAGGCAGCAGUGGGGAAUAUUGCACAAUGGGCGCAAGCCUGAUGCAGCCAUGCCGCGUGUAUGAAGAAGGCCUUCGGGUUGUAAAGUACUUUCAGUCGUGAGGAAGGUGUUAAGGUUAAUAACCUUAGCAAUUGACGUUAGCGACAGAAGAAGCACCGGCUAACUCCGUGCCAGCAGCCGCGGUAAUACGGAGGGUGCGAGCGUUAAUCGGAAUUACUGGGCGUAAAGGGCACGCAGGCGGUUAAUUAAGUUGGAUGUGAAAUCCCCGGGCUUAACCUGGGAAUGGCAUUCAAGACUGGUUAGCUAGAGUCUUGUAGAGGGGGUAGAAUUCCAUGUGUAGCGGUGAAAUGCGUAGAGAUGUGGAGGAAAUACCGGUGGCGAAAGGCGGCCCCCUGGACAAAAGACUGACGCUCAUGUGCGAAAAGCGUGGGGAGCAAAACAGGGAUUAGAU
RNAcentral lists this ribosomal RNA (456 nucleotides) under uncultured bacterium. RNAcentral's name for it is "bacterial SSU rRNA". It matches the Rfam family "Bacterial small subunit ribosomal RNA", at positions 340 to 783 of the family's 1533-position model. The record is from RNAcentral.